Molecule: small nuclear RNA, 103 nt
Filed under: Phascolarctos cinereus (koala)
Lineage: Eukaryota; Metazoa; Chordata; Mammalia; Diprotodontia; Phascolarctidae
Source: RNAcentral
GUGCUUAGGCAGCACACAUACUAAAACUAGAACAAUAUAAUGAAGAUUUUUGUGGCCCCUGCAGAAGGAUGACAUGUAUUCAUGGGAAACUAUAUGUGCUGGG